This 658-nucleotide ribosomal RNA is filed under the name uncultured bacterium. Its description in RNAcentral is "bacterial SSU rRNA". It matches the Rfam family "Bacterial small subunit ribosomal RNA", at positions 187 to 848 of the family's 1533-position model. The record is from RNAcentral.
GCAUGUUCACAUGAUUAAAGGUAUUCCGGUAGACGAUGGGGAUGCGUUCCAUUAGAUAGUAGGCGGGGUAACGGCCCACCUAGUCUUCGAUGGAUAGGGGUUCUGAGAGGAAGGUCCCCCACAUUGGAACUGAGACACGGUCCAAACUCCUACGGGAGGCAGCAGUGAGGAAUAUUGGUCAAUGGGCGAGAGCCUGAACCAGCCAAGUAGCGUGAAGGAUGACUGCCCUAUGGGUUGUAAACUUCUUUUAUAAAGGAAUAAAGUCGGGUAUGCAUACCCGUUUGCAUGUACUUUAUGAAUAAGGAUCGGCUAACUCCGUGCCAGCAGCCGCGGUAAUACGGAGGAUCCGAGCGUUAUCCGGAUUUAUUGGGUUUAAAGGGAGCGUAGAUGGAUGUUUAAGUCAGUUGUGAAAGUUUGCGGCUCAACCGUAAAAUUGCAGUUGAUACUGGAUAUCUUGAGUGCAGUUGAGGCAGGCGGAAUUCGUGGUGUAGCGGUGAAAUGCUUAGAUAUCACGAAGAACUCCGAUUGCGAAGGCAGCCUGCUAAGCUGCAACUGACAUUGAGGCUCGAAAGUGUGGGUAUCAAACAGGAUUAGAUACCCUGGUAGUCCACACGGUAAACGAUGAAUACUCGCUGUUUGCGAUAUACGGCAAGCGGCC